RNAcentral lists this ribosomal RNA (253 nucleotides) under uncultured bacterium. RNAcentral's name for it is "partial 16S ribosomal RNA". It matches the Rfam family "Bacterial small subunit ribosomal RNA", at positions 524 to 776 of the family's 1533-position model. The record is from RNAcentral.
GACGUAGGAGGCGAGCGUUGUCCGGAUUCAUUGGGCGUAAAGAGCACGCAGGCGGUUUGGCAAGUCGGAUGUGAAAACCCGAAGCUCAACUUCGGGCCUGCAUCCGAAACUGCCCGACUAGAGGUAGGUAGGGGAGAUCGGAAUUCCUGGUGUAGCGGUGAAAUGCGCAGAUAUCAGGAGGAACACCGGUGGCGAAGGCGGGUCUCUGGGCCGCAACUGACACUGAGGGACGAAAGCUAGGGGAGCGAAUGGG